ACAACGAAGAGUUUGAUCCUGGCUCAGGAUGAACGCUAGCGACAGGCCUAACACAUGCAAGUCGAGGGGCAUCGGGGCGAGGAGCAAUCCUUGCCGCCGGCGACCGGCGCACGGGUGAGUAACGCGUAUGCGACCUGCCCGUUGCAGGGGGAUAAUCGGGAGAAAUCCCGUCUAAUACCGCGUAAUGCCGCGGGGCUGCAUGGCCCUGCGGCCAAAGGAAGCGAUUCCGGCAACGGAUGGGCAUGCGUGACAUUAGCUAGUUGGCGGGGCAACGGCCCACCAAGGCGACGAUGUCUAGGGGUUCUGAGAGGAAGGUCCCCCACACUGGUACUGAGACACGGACCAGACUCCUACGGGAGGCAGCAGUGAGGAAUAUUGGUCAAUGGGCGCGAGCCUGAACCAGCCAAGUCGCGUGAGGGAUGACGGCCCUACGGGUUGUAAACCUCUUUUGUCGGGGAGCAAAUUCCGCCACGCGUGGCGGGGUCGAGAGUACCCGAAGAAAAAGCAUCGGCUAACUCCGUGCCAGCAGCCGCGGUAAUACGGAGGAUGCGAGCGUUAUCCGGAUUUAUUGGGUUUAAAGGGUGCGUAGGCGGACUGUCAAGUCAGCGGUAAAAUACGGGGGCUCAACCUCCGCCCGCCGUUGAAACUGACGGUCUUGAGUGGGCGAGAAGUAUGCGGAAUGCGUGGUGUAGCGGUGAAAUGCAUAGAUAUCACGCAGAACUCCGAUUGCGAAGGCAGCAUACCGGCGCCCAACUGACGCUGAAGCACGAAAGCGUGGGUAUCGAACAGGAUUAGAUACCCUGGUAGUCCACGCAGUAAACGAUGAAUACUAGCUGUCCGGGGCGAAUGAGCCCUGGGUGGCACAGCGAAAGCGUUAAGUAUUCCACCUGGGGAGUACGCCGGCAACGGUGAAACUCAAAGGAAUUGACGGGGGCCCGCACAAGCGGAGGAACAUGUGGUUUAAUUCGAUGAUACGCGAGGAACCUUACCCGGGCUCAAACGACACAGGAACGGUCCUGAAAGGGGUCGGCUCUACGGAGCCUGUGUCGAGGUGCUGCAUGGUUGUCGUCAGCUCGUGCCGUGAGGUGUCGGCUUAAGUGCCAUAACGAGCGCAACCCCCAUCGACAGUUGCUAACAGGUUAGGCUGAGGACUCUGUCGAGACUGCCGGCGCAAGCUGCGAGGAAGGCGGGGAUGACGUCAAAUCAGCACGGCCCUUACGUCCGGGGCGACACACGUGUUACAAUGGCAGGUACAGCGGGAAGCCACCUGGCGACAGGGAGCGGAACCCGAAAGCCUGUCUCAGUUCGGAUUGGAGUCUGCAACCCGACUCCAUGAAGCUGGAUUCGCUAGUAAUCGCGCAUCAGCCACGGCGCGGUGAAUACGUUCCCGGGCCUUGUACACACCGCCCGUCAAGCCAUGGAAGCCGGGGGUGCCUGAAGUGCGCUGCCGCAAGGAGCGCCCUAGGGUAAAACCGGUGACUGGGGCUAAGUCGUAACAAGGUAGCCGUACCGGAAGGUGCGGCUGGAACACCUCCUUU
Molecule: ribosomal RNA, 1538 nt
Filed under: Muribaculum gordoncarteri
Lineage: Bacteria; Pseudomonadati; Bacteroidota; Bacteroidia; Bacteroidales; Muribaculaceae
Description: Muribaculum sp. TLL-A4 16S ribosomal RNA
Rfam family: Bacterial small subunit ribosomal RNA
Source: RNAcentral